This 28-nucleotide non-coding RNA is filed under the name Mus musculus (house mouse). Lineage: Eukaryota; Metazoa; Chordata; Mammalia; Rodentia; Muridae. The record is from RNAcentral.
UGUCUGUGCCACUUUUUGAGGCCUUGUC